RNAcentral lists this ribosomal RNA (2932 nucleotides) under Salmonella enterica subsp. enterica serovar Newport str. CVM 22425. RNAcentral describes it as "bacterial LSU rRNA". It matches the Rfam family "Bacterial large subunit ribosomal RNA". Lineage: Bacteria; Pseudomonadati; Pseudomonadota; Gammaproteobacteria; Enterobacterales; Enterobacteriaceae. The record is from RNAcentral.
GGGUUGUGAGGUUAAGCGACUAAGCGUACACGGUGGAUGCCCUGGCAGUCAGAGGCGAUGAAGGGCGUGCUAAUCUGCGAUAAGCGCCGGUAAGGUGAUAUGAACCGUUAUAACCGGCGAUACCCGAAUGGGGAAACCCAGUGUGACUCGUCACACUAUCAUUAACUGAAUCCAUAGGUUAAUGAGGCGAACCGGGGGAACUGAAACAUCUAAGUACCCCGAGGAAAAGAAAUCAACCGAGAUUCCCCCAGUAGCGGCGAGCGAACGGGGAGGAGCCCAGAGCCUGAAUCAGCAUGUGUGUUAGUGGAAGCGUCUGGAAAGGCGCGCGAUACAGGGUGACAGCCCCGUACACAAAAGCGCAUGUGCUGUGAGCUCGAUGAGUAGGGCGGGACACGUGGUAUCCUGUCUGAAUAUGGGGGGACCAUCCUCCAAGGCUAAAUACUCCUGACUGACCGAUAGUGAACCAGUACCGUGAGGGAAAGGCGAAAAGAACCCCGGCGAGGGGAGUGAAAAAGAACCUGAAACCGUGUACGUACAAGCAGUGGGAGCACAGGUUUACCUGUGUGACUGCGUACCUUUUGUAUAAUGGGUCAGCGACUUAUAUUCUGUAGCAAGGUUAACCGAAUAGGGGAGCCGGAGGGAAACCGAGUCUUAAUUGGGCGUUAAGUUGCAGGGUAUAGACCCGAAACCCGGUGAUCUAGCCAUGGGCAGGUUGAAGGUUGGGUAACACUAACUGGAGGACCGAACCGACUAAUGUUGAAAAAUUAGCGGAUGACCUGUGGCUGGGGGUGAAAGGCCAAUCAAACCGGGAGAUAGCUGGUUCUCCCCGAAAGCUAUUUAGGUAGCGCCUCGUGAAUUCAUCUCCGGGGGUAGAGCACUGUUUCGGCUAGGGGGCCAUCCCGGCUUACCAACCCGAUGCAAACUGCGAAUACCGGAGAAUGUUAUCACGGGAGACACACGGCGGGUGCUAACGUCCGUCGUGAAGAGGGAAACAACCCAGACCGCCAGCUAAGGUCCCAAAGUCAUGGUUAAGUGGGAAACGAUGUGGGAAGGCCCAGACAGCCAGGAUGUUGGCUUAGAAGCAGCCAUCAUUUAAAGAAAGCGUAAUAGCUCACUGGUCGAGUCGGCCUGCGCGGAAGAUGUAACGGGGCUAAACCAUGCACCGAAGCUGCGGCAGCGACACUGUGUGUUGUUGGGUAGGGGAGCGUUCUGUAAGCCUGUGAAGGUGUGUCGUGAGGCAUGCUGGAGGUAUCAGAAGUGCGAAUGCUGACAUAAGUAACGAUAAAGCGGGUGAAAAGCCCGCUCGCCGGAAGACCAAGGGUUCCUGUCCAACGUUAAUCGGGGCAGGGUGAGUCGACCCCUAAGGCGAGGCCGAAAGGCGUAGUCGAUGGGAAACAGGUUAAUAUUCCUGUACUUGGUGUUACUGCGAAGGGGGGACGGAGAAGGCUAUGUUGGCCGGGCGACGGUUGUCCCGGUUUAAGCGUGUAGGUGUGUGUUCCAGGUAAAUCCGGUUCACUUUAACACUGAGGCGUGAUGACGAGGCACUACGGUGCUGAAGCAACAAAUGCCCUGCUUCCAGGAAAAGCCUCUAAGCAUCAGGUAACAUCAAAUCGUACCCCAAACCGACACAGGUGGUCAGGUAGAGAAUACCAAGGCGCUUGAGAGAACUCGGGUGAAGGAACUAGGCAAAAUGGUGCCGUAACUUCGGGAGAAGGCACGCUGACACGUAGGUGAAGUGAUUUACUCAUGGAGCUGAAGUCAGUCGAAGAUACCAGCUGGCUGCAACUGUUUAUUAAAAACACAGCACUGUGCAAACACGAAAGUGGACGUAUACGGUGUGACGCCUGCCCGGUGCCGGAAGGUUAAUUGAUGGGGUCAGCGCAAGCGAAGCUCCUGAUCGAAGCCCCGGUAAACGGCGGCCGUAACUAUAACGGUCCUAAGGUAGCGAAAUUCCUUGUCGGGUAAGUUCCGACCUGCACGAAUGGCGUAAUGAUGGCCAGGCUGUCUCCACCCGAGACUCAGUGAAAUUGAACUCGCUGUGAAGAUGCAGUGUACCCGCGGCAAGACGGAAAGACCCCGUGAACCUUUACUAUAGCUUGACACUGAACAUUGAGCCUUGAUGUGUAGGAUAGGUGGGAGGCUUUGAAGCGUGGACGCCAGUCUGCGUGGAGCCGACCUUGAAAUACCACCCUUUAAUGUUUGAUGUUCUAACGUGGACCCGUAAUCCGGGUUGCGGACAGUGUCUGGUGGGUAGUUUGACUGGGGCGGUCUCCUCCUAAAGAGUAACGGAGGAGCACGAAGGUUGGCUAAUCCUGGUCGGACAUCAGGAGGUUAGUGCAAUGGCAUAAGCCAGCUUGACUGCGAGCGUGACGGCGCGAGCAGGUGCGAAAGCAGGUCAUAGUGAUCCGGUGGUUCUGAAUGGAAGGGCCAUCGCUCAACGGAUAAAAGGUACUCCGGGGAUAACAGGCUGAUACCGCCCAAGAGUUCAUAUCGACGGCGGUGUUUGGCACCUCGAUGUCGGCUCAUCACAUCCUGGGGCUGAAGUAGGUCCCAAGGGUAUGGCUGUUCGCCAUUUAAAGUGGUACGCGAGCUGGGUUUAGAACGUCGUGAGACAGUUCGGUCCCUAUCUGCCGUGGGCGCUGGAGAACUGAGGGGGCUGCUCCUAGUACGAGAGGACCGGAGUGGACGCAUCACUGGUGUUCGGGUUGUCAUGCCAAUGGCACUGCCCGGUAGCUAAAUGCGGAAGAGAUAAGUGCUGAAAGCAUCUAAGCACGAAACUUGCCCCGAGAUGAGUUCUCCCUGAGACUUAGAGUCUCCUGAAGGAACGUUGAAGACGACGACGUUGAUAGGCCGGGUGUGUAAGCGCAGCGAUGCGUUGAGCUAACCGGUACUAAUGAACCGUGAGGCUUAACCUUACAACGCCGAAGCUGUU